AGAGAACCUAGGCGCUGCAGGUGGAGUUCUAGGGGCUCUGGCAGCGCCGCUAGCUCCCAGCACCAUUCCUGGCCGCGGAGCGCUGGGCGGAGGUCCAGGUGGCGACUCCCAGAGCAGCCCAGCUCCCGUCUCGCCACCCCCACCCUGCCCCAGCUAGGGGAAGAAGAUCCCGGACAGCACUGUCGAGCCCUGCCAGAUCAGAAAAAUAAAUAAAAAUAGACGUAGUGCAGGAGCGAGUUACAAGAAAGGAUUUGGUCAUCGAUUUUCUUAAAUGGAAAAGUUCUAAAGGAGGCGGCUGCCCUUCCCCUCCCCUCUCCAUCUUACCCUAGGCGAUAUAAAAUCAAAGCCCUGGAAAACAACUAUGUACUCAGCUUCCAAGGAAAACUUUCCAAGACAACCACCCUUCAGGUGAAGUCCCCCACUGCUAC
Molecule: long non-coding RNA, 428 nt
Organism: Heterocephalus glaber (naked mole-rat)
Lineage: Eukaryota; Metazoa; Chordata; Mammalia; Rodentia; Bathyergidae
Source: Ensembl